This 87-nucleotide transfer RNA is filed under the name Gammaproteobacteria bacterium. Its description in RNAcentral is "tRNA-Leu". It matches the Rfam family "tRNA". Rfam says of the family: Transfer RNA (tRNA) molecules are approximately 80 nucleotides in length. RNAcentral also lists the same sequence under 3 other names. The record is from RNAcentral. Lineage: Bacteria; Pseudomonadati; Pseudomonadota; Gammaproteobacteria.
GGCGGCGUGGUGAAAUUGGUAGACACGCGGGAUUCAAAAUCCCGUUGGGGCAACUCAGUGUCGGUUCGAGUCCGACCGCCGCUACCA